ACAACUACGAGUAGUAACUUAAAACUUAAAAGACUUGACGGUACUUCACCACAAUCUAGAGGAGCCUGUCUAAUAACCGAUAACCCACGAUUAACCCAACCCCCUCUUGCCAACAGUCUAUAUACCACCGUCGCAAGCUUACCUUGUAAAAGAAACAAAGUAAGCUAAAUAGUACUUCACUAAAACGACAGGUCGAGGUGUAACUCAUGAGCGGGAUCUAGAUGGGCUACAUUCUCUCCUUCACCACGAACUAGGUGUUUGAAGGAGGAUUUAGCAGUAAGGUGGGAAUAAAAUACCCAACUGAACAUAACGCAAUGAAGUGCGUACACACCGCCCGUCACCCCUG
This 346-nucleotide ribosomal RNA is filed under the name Bitis arietans (puff adder). Its description in RNAcentral is "partial 12S ribosomal RNA". Lineage: Eukaryota; Metazoa; Chordata; Lepidosauria; Squamata; Viperidae. The record is from RNAcentral.